UAAUAAUAAUAAUAAUAAUAGACAGAUAUUUAAUAAAAUUUCAAAGUCCAAUUUUCCUCGUUCCUUGACGAUAAUAAUCUAGUCGGUUAUAAAAUUGUAACUUCGCGAAUAACUUCGUACGAUCGUAUAAAAAUUUAUAUAGAGAUCAUUUAGACGUCGUAUAAGGGAGAAUUAAAAGAACAUGGAUGAAAAACUUUUGUGAUCCGCUUGUUAAGAUGUUUCAAAACAAUUCGACGAAACGUGAAAUUACGCGAAAUCUUUAUAUUUAUAUGCGUGAAAACUUUUUUAAAAAAUCUGUGAAAUUUUAAUCGACGAUUUUAUUGAUCGAUCACGUUUUUGUUUCUGCUUUAUUAAAAUCUCUUUGAAUACGUGUUCAUCGUUCUGUGAAGAAUUUUUUUUGGUUGAUCUUUCGUUGAGCUUCCUCUCGAGCAUUCUUCGUUACAGAGACGUAAAGAUAAUUAAAAUUAAAUCUGUCAUACAUUGCGUGAUACAAGAUUAAGAAAAAGUUGAAAAAGAUCAAAGAAUCAGCUCACACUACCAAUUACCAUUGUGAUGUUCCACGAGUGAAUUUAGUUUAUGGAAAGGUGUGGCAAAUGCCUGGUUAGAAGUUUUAAAAGAUUAAUUUGGGAUGGCUGAUUUCGAAUGAUUGAUCUCGAACGAUUCUUUUCCAAGAAUGACGUCCAAGGAAAAUUGGAAAGAAUCGAAAAAUUGUCGGUUUUGAUUUUUACCUUUUUCUCGUUUGGCAAACGACCAAUGUAGAGGAAAUAACGCUGUCCCUCUUCUCUCACAUCUUUUGCAGAGAAUUGGAAAUCGAAAGGAUGAAAUGUAUGGAUAGAUGUGGAAGAAAUUUGAAUCGAAAUAACAUGUAGAUAAGAUUCGAUUUUUUAAUCUUAAUUAUUUUAUCGAAAAUAUCGAUAAGAUGAAAAAUUCGUUUCGCAAAAUUAUAUCCAAGAGAUCGAAAUAUUACAAUCAAUUGGGUCGAGCCAAAUACUCUAUGGGUGCUUUCCAGAAUUAAUUUAUAACGAUAUACCAUUCCAUAAAUUGUAUUAUACAGUAUUCGAUGGUUUGUAUUUAGGUUACUUGGCAUACGAGCCAACCACUGUUACUAGACCAUCGUAAAACUCUCUUAAUUAUCGAAAUAUUUUCUUUAUUAUUCAUCGAAUAUAUUUUUAUCAUAUCGAAAGAUUUUUCCAAUUUUCGUAAAAAAAAAAAAAAUGUUUAAAGAUUCCUGAAGGAUAUAGUUCUCCAUUCGAUCUUCUUCGAAGAUAGAAUAUUCUCUUCUCUCUAAAACGAUGCAAUAAAACGAUCUCGACGAAUUGGAUUUACGGUUUUAAAUACACUAUUACACAGUUUCCAAGAUGCCACUAUUUUACAUGUAUCGUAAUUGAAUUUGGUUAAACGUGUUCCAGGAAUUUAUCGUGAAUUUUAUCGUAGAUCUACGAGGUGUCCCCGGAUUAUACGAUCGAAAUGCAGCAAUAUAAGUUCCAAGCAAGUAUAAAAAUAAGAGAAAAAACAGCAAACAGUUUAUCCAUUUUCUUCAAAGAUGGCGUUCCUCGAAUGAAAUACGUACGCUUCUACAGAAAUUUGUAGAAUUUAUCACUCUUCUUUCCAAUGAAUGCAUUAUUAAUCCCUUCUUUUAUAAAGUAUUUACAUAGAUUUCUAAUCAUAUAUAGAGUUUCUAAUCGUUUAAAUAUCAAUCACGAGGGAAAUUAAUUUUAAAAAGAAACGUAAGAUUUAAAUUAAAAUUUUGGAAAUGAAUUCGAUCAGGAAAAAUUUUCAAAUAUAUUCUUUCCACGUAUUCCAUCCAAUACACAAAGAAA
Molecule: long non-coding RNA, 1820 nt
Organism: Apis cerana (Asiatic honeybee)
Lineage: Eukaryota; Metazoa; Arthropoda; Insecta; Hymenoptera; Apidae
Source: RefSeq, a predicted model, not a curated record